UUUAAGUAUCGCGUGAUCUGUAACCGUUGCCGGGGCAGCGACGAGCGCGCCUAAGAUCUGAUCCUCCCAAGACUUGACCGCGAAUUUGGCAAGAAUU
This 97-nucleotide small RNA is filed under the name Rhizobium sp. N324. RNAcentral describes it as "miscellaneous other RNA". The record is from RNAcentral. RNAcentral also lists the same sequence under 3 other names. Lineage: Bacteria; Pseudomonadati; Pseudomonadota; Alphaproteobacteria; Hyphomicrobiales; Rhizobiaceae.